GGAACAUCCACGAAGUGUUUUAUGAUGGAAGUGUUUGGAAAAAGAUUUGGGCAAAGGUGGCCAUAAAUAGAAUGUGCUUGGUUUGAUUGGUAAUGUUUUUAGUCAUCCAAGAAAUGGUUACCUUGGAGAUUGAGACAUACAAAAUACUAGUGUUUCUUCUACAAGCAUGGUGGCAGAGCAGAGUGCACCAAAUCCUCAAGGACCGCCUCCAUGGAUGAGGGGUUUCCAAUGGUGGUGGCCUGAGCUGGGGGUGUCACUCCAGGUCCAACCAACCUGCUCUGCCAUACUUGCCUGGAGCAUAACUGCCCCAUCAACAUGAAGGCCCUCCAGUAUCCACCAGGGCUCAGCCAGGAGCUCAGUCAGACCUCUCCUUUUGGACAGAAUUUGGUUUGUUGCUCCAAGAACAAGCCCUCCUACAGCUGCCAGACAUUUGGAACUCAUGUCACUCUUCCCACACCAGCAUCCAGACUAAUCCUUGUAGUUUCCUGUUGAAACUCCAGCUGACCCCUCUUACUACCCACCCCGUCACCUGGGUACUCACCAAACCAACAGAAACAGAACCCAACUCAGUGUGGAGUCAUGUGGCUGUAUGUUCCUGAGUCCCUCUGAUCAUCUUUACUAUACACUAUGUGAAACACGCUGCUUUGCCAUCAUCACUCAUCACAUGCUAUCUUGCUAUUCCUGGAGGGAGAAUGCUGGAAAGAGCAUCUCUUCCAGCCCAACAACUGGUAAAAGCCAGAUCAUCUACAAAACCCCUUCUUUUCCUGAACCCUUGAGAGCCGAGGGCACAUGAUGGCUGACUAGCUGAGGACCUGAGACAGGUGUCCAAUGGAAAGAAGACUUUGGUACAUGUGCACUGCCCUGCCCUAUGGAGAAGAAGGCAGAUGGGGCCAUCAUACAGUGGGCAAGGAGAAUGCCUUAGCCAGCUGCUGGAGAACCUCAGGGAGCCACGGUACAGGGCUUUUCUCCGUGGUCCCCUGGGGUCUUCUCUACUGGCUCCCCAGGCACUCAUGAGAAAGUCUCCUGGGAGGUUCAGGACUGGAGGAAGGAAGGGAAAAAUACCUACCUGGUCCUCUAUAUGGAGCAAGCCAGAAGUCACUGGGAGCAAAGAAAACCUAUCACACCUGAAGUACUGGUAAUAGUCACUGUGGCUGGGAGAAGAGAAAAGAAAAAUGGAGGGCAGGAGACGAUCAUGGGUAGAUAAUCAGGUCUCCCACAGCCAGACAAAGGGCAGGAUCAUUGAGGUAUUGCCCAAGACCCCAAAACCGAGCACCUGCAGACUAAAGAUGGGCCAGGUGAGCACAGUUCCCUUGUUCCCCACCUCCUGAGGUGAGCAAGCCCUGGGUCACAGGCAAUAGAGUCUAUGUCUAGGGUAGGGCAAGAGCAGGAGGGACCCUCUCUGAGGUACUGGUCUGUGUGGAAGACUGACAGCCCCUACCCUGUGUACCAGGAAAUGCUAGAGGAGUUUGACUCUGGUGGUGCACACAAAGUAAUCAUGACAACAAAAUUCAAACCUAGCGGGGCUGGGGUUGUGGCUUGGAGGUAGAGCGUUUGCCUAGCAUGCAUGAGGCACUGGGUUCAAUCCUCAGCACCACAUAAAAUAAAGUGUGAGAUAUAGAUUAUAUAUAUAUAUAUGAGUCAAACCUAGCCCUUGUACCGACUGGACUGAUCCAGCUUACACACUGGCUGCCCAGCAGGAAAGGUCACAUUUUAACACUUAUGUUGGCAUUCAGUAAAAAUUUAUGAGACACUCAGAAAGAAAAAGAACUCAAAAAACAACAAAAAUUUAAAUCAAUCUAAAAAAACUGACUAAGAGAUAACCAUAUAUUGGAUGAACAAGCAUGACCAGAUGGAGAAUUUUAGCAGAGGAAUUAAAAACUAAGAAAGAGCUAAGUGUGGUGGCACACAUCUGCAAUCACAGCUACUGCAGUGGCUGAGGUAGGAAGACUGCGAGUUCAAGGCCAGCCUGGGCAACUUGGCGGGACCCUGUUGAAAAAUAAAAAAUAAAAGGGUUUGGGCUGGGAGCAGUGGCACAGGCCUGUAAUCCUAAUGGCUUGGGAGCCCCAGGCAGCAGGACUACAAGUUCAAAGCCAGCCUCAGCAACUUAAUGAGACCCUGUCUCAAAAUUAAAAAAAUAAAAAGGGCUGUGGAUGUUCUUCAGUGGCUAAGUAUCCUUGGGUUCAAUCCUCAAUACCAUAAAAAAGUUAUUCAGAUAGAAGAUAUAUGCCCUGAGCUGGGGAUGUGGCUCAAGCGGUAACGCGCUUGCCUGGCAUGUGCGCGGCACUAGGUUUGAUCCUCAGCAUCACAUAAAAAUAAAAUAAAGAUGUUGUGUCCACCAAAAACUGAAAAAUAAAUAUUAAAAAAAUUCUCUUCUUCUAUGGGCUGGGGAUGUGGCUCAAGUGGUAGCGCGCUCGCCUGGCAUGCGUGCGGCCCGGGUUCGAUCCUCAGCACCACAUACAAACAAAGAUGUUGUGUCCGCCGAAAACUAAAAAAUAAAUA
RNAcentral lists this long non-coding RNA (2499 nucleotides) under Marmota monax (woodchuck). The stretch from base 1526 to 1594 matches the Rfam family "tRNA". Lineage: Eukaryota; Metazoa; Chordata; Mammalia; Rodentia; Sciuridae. The record is from RNAcentral.